Molecule: long non-coding RNA, 182 nt
Organism: Symphalangus syndactylus (siamang)
Lineage: Eukaryota; Metazoa; Chordata; Mammalia; Primates; Hylobatidae
Source: RefSeq, a predicted model, not a curated record
CUGCUGACAUCCAUGUAAGACGCGACUCCUUCCUCCUUGCCUUUCGCCAUGAUUGUGAGGCUCCCCCAGCCACGUGGAACUGCUAGAACCCCCAGUUCCAUGUUCAACAGAAGGUGUGGUGGUGCGCACCUGUAAUCCCAGCUACUCAGGAGGCCGAGGCAGGAGAAUCGCUUGAACCCAGG